AGCAGCCGCGGUAAUUCCAGCUCCAAUAGCGUAUAUUAAAGUUGUUGCAGUUAAAAAGCUCGUAGUUGAAUUUCGAGACCGGUCUACUGGUCGUGCUUUUGUACGUACUAGUAUAAUCGGUUUCUCUCUUCUGACGAACUAUAAUGCUAUUAAUUUGGUGUUUUAGGGAAUCAGGACUGUUACUUUGAAAAAAUUAGAGUGUUUAAAGCAGGCUCACGCUUGAAUACAUUAGCAUGGAAUAACGAAAUAGGACGUUUGAUUCUAUUUUGUUGGUUUCUAGGAUCGACGUAAUGAUUAAUAGGGAUAGUUGGGGGCAUUAGUAUUCAAUUGUCAGAGGUGAAAUUCUUGGAUUUAUUGAAGACUAACUACUGCGAAAGCAUUUGCCAAGGAUGUUUU
RNAcentral lists this ribosomal RNA (396 nucleotides) under uncultured Glomeromycotina. RNAcentral's name for it is "SSU rRNA". It matches the Rfam family "Eukaryotic small subunit ribosomal RNA", at positions 569 to 970 of the family's 1831-position model. The record is from RNAcentral. Lineage: Eukaryota; Fungi; Glomeromycota.